RNAcentral lists this unclassified non-coding RNA (258 nucleotides) under uncultured fungus. RNAcentral's name for it is "partial contains 5.8S ribosomal RNA, internal transcribed spacer 2, and large subunit ribosomal RNA". Lineage: Eukaryota; Fungi. The record is from RNAcentral.
AACGCACAUUGCGCCCUUUGGCAUUCCGAGGGGCAUGCCCGUUCGAGCGUCAUUAAAUCCCACUCAAGCCUGGCUUGGUCUUGGGCGCCGGGGACCUCCCCGCGCCUCCAUUUCGCCGGCUGGCCGUCGUUUGACUUAGCGUUGUGACACAUGUCGCUAAUGAAAAAAGCGGACCGCGUCGUGAAAAUCUCCUUGGGUGUCGAUCGACAUCCAGUAAAGGUUGACCUCGGAUCGGGUAGGAAUACCCGCUGAACUUAA